This is a long non-coding RNA of Cyprinus carpio (common carp), 716 nucleotides long. RefSeq lists it as uncharacterized. Lineage: Eukaryota; Metazoa; Chordata; Actinopteri; Cypriniformes; Cyprinidae. The transcript has 3 exons. The record is from RefSeq and is a predicted model, not a curated record.
AGAUGGUGCUUGGUUUUACCAACCGUUCUCACAAAGCCAGGAUGAUGUCCGAGCAGAAAGAUGUCAGAGAUCUGCCUCUCUUUGGAGUCUGGCAAACUGAAGAGUAUACCAGCCUCUGAUCGCUGUUGAUGGCAAAGUACCACGUAAUGAGCAGCCUGGGAAAAUGAGCAAGAUAACCAGAAGCAGAAAGAACAAGAGAAACGUGAGAAGUGUGUGGUGGCUAAUUGGACACUGCUGGUCAAAGGCCUGUUAAUCAAAGAGAGGCUGAAGCGUUGCUAUGGGCAACAAAGGCUGGCAUUAGGGGCGGGGCUUAAGCAAGGCAAAGAAGGCGGGGCUGAAGGAGUGUCCUCAGAUGAGGAGGAAGAGGGCGGGGCUCAGACAGCUCCACCCUCUCUGGUUAGUUCAUUGCCACACAGGCAAUAGGAACAAGAGGAAAAGAUUUUAAGGCGUGUAACUAAACGAGAAAAACAUGGAGAAACAUCUCUUCUCUUUUGAAAAGUGUGACUAAAUCGGCCCUUUAUUAUUUCACUUUCCUUAUCUUCCUUUUAAAUGUUUUUCUGCAUUUAUAAGCAUGUACUGUAUUAUCUGUAACUGUGAGCUCUACAUCACUAUACCCAACCUUUUAUAACUGCAAUAGCUACAUAUGCAGGGAAUUUCAAAAAUGUCAGCCAUUUAUGUUUAGUAAUUUUUACAGACUGUAUAUUUGUUCUUCUAUA